This 492-nucleotide ribosomal RNA is filed under the name uncultured bacterium. RNAcentral's name for it is "partial 16S ribosomal RNA". It matches the Rfam family "Bacterial small subunit ribosomal RNA", at positions 29 to 507 of the family's 1533-position model. The record is from RNAcentral.
AGUGAACGCUGGCGGUAGGCCUAACACAUGCAAGUCGAACGGCAGCACAGUAAGAGCUUGCGCUUACGGGUGGCGAGUGGCGGAUGGGUGAGGAAUACAUCCGAAUCUACUUUUUCGUGGGGGAUGACGUAGGGAAACUUACGCUAAUACCGCAUACGACCUACGGGUGAAAGCAGGGGAUCUUCGGACCUUGCGCGAUUCAAUGAGCCGAUGUCGGAUUAGCUAGUUGGUGGGGUAAAGGCCCACCAAGGCGACGAUCCGUAGCUGGUCUGAGAGGAUGAUCAGUCACACUGGAACUGAGACACGGUCCAGACUCCUACGGGAGGCAGCAGUGGGGAAUAUUGGACAAUGGGCGAAAGCCUGAUCCAGCCAUGCCGCGUGUGUGAAGAAGGUCUUCGGAUUGUAAAGCCCUUUUAGUUGGGAAGAAGAGCAGUAAGUUAAUACCUUGCUGUUUUGACGUUACCCACAGAAUAAGCACCGGCUAACUUCGUG